UACAGAGGGUGCAAGCGUUGUUCGGAAUUAUUGGGCGUAAAGGGCGCGUAGGCGGUUCGGCAAGUCUCUAGUGAAAUCUCAGGGCUCAACUCUGAGUCUGCUGGGGAAACUGCCGGGCUUGAGUGUGGGAGAGGAGAGUGGAAUUCCCGGUGUAGCGGUGAAAUGCGUAGAUAUCAGGAGGAACACCGAUGGCGAAGGCAGGUCUCUGGGCAUUAACUGACGCUGGAGGAGCGAAAGCAUGGGGAGCGAACAGG
Molecule: ribosomal RNA, 254 nt
Filed under: uncultured bacterium
Lineage: Bacteria
Description: partial 16S ribosomal RNA
Rfam family: Bacterial small subunit ribosomal RNA
Source: RNAcentral